This 75-nucleotide transfer RNA is filed under the name Chloroflexota bacterium. Its description in RNAcentral is "Chloroflexi bacterium tRNA-Lys". It matches the Rfam family "tRNA". Rfam says of the family: Transfer RNA (tRNA) molecules are approximately 80 nucleotides in length. Their secondary structure includes four short double-helical elements and three loops (D, anti-codon, and T loops). RNAcentral also lists the same sequence under 1 other name. The record is from RNAcentral. Lineage: Bacteria; Bacillati; Chloroflexota.
GGGCCUCUAGCUCAAUGGCAGAGCAGCUGACUCUUAAUCAGCCGGUUCCCGGUUCGAGUCCGGGGGGGCUCACCA